GGGCAUGAUGCGGGAGAGUAUGGGAAGCCUUGGAGGCCACCCCGUCACCGAAGGAGCAACCGCCCCGGAAUCUCUCAGGUCAAAGGACCGCAUCGCGCGC
Molecule: non-coding RNA, 100 nt
Filed under: Sphingobium cupriresistens
Lineage: Bacteria; Pseudomonadati; Pseudomonadota; Alphaproteobacteria; Sphingomonadales; Sphingobiaceae
Also listed under: 1 other name
Description: Sphingobium czechense Glycine sequence
Rfam family: Glycine riboswitch aptamer
About the family: This family represents the bacterial glycine riboswitch. Glycine riboswitches usually consist of two metabolite-binding aptamers domains with similar structures in tandem. The aptamers cooperatively bind glycine to regulate the expression of downstream genes.
Source: RNAcentral